CAGACUGCUAUUCUCCCAACUCUCUCACGCAAAAACGUCUUCAUCUCCAGUGGAAGUAUUGAAAAAUUUUUGUAGAAAAUGAUGUUUAUUGACGAAACGAAAUGAGUGGUCGUAGCAUGUAGUGCUUCGUUUGCGUGGAAUCACAGUCUUAAAGUUUCGUUUUGAGCAUCGUAAGUACAGAUCCACCAGAUUUUUUUUUUGACUCAGUUGGGUUUCCGUAUCUGUGAGGCAAGAAAACACCAGUCCCUGCACAUUCUUUUUUAACACCAGUCCCUGCACAUUCUUUUUUAACACCAGAUCCACCAAGAAAAACUGCUCUCAUGCCGGAAUUAGUACCGGAUUGUUGCUGUUGUUGUUGAUGGUGGUUCUGCUUUUGAAGAGAAGGCCAAGCAGACUGAGGUAGAGCUAGUGGAUGCGCGCAUCUUCCAUGUUCGCAGCAAACUCCUCUGUUUCUGUUCUGCAUCUGCUGUUGCUGGUGGUGGUGCUGAGGUUGAAGGAGGGGUGUUUUAGUCUUUUAGUCUUCAAUUAACGAAAAAAAACCAAUUUUUCGGACGGAAUGACCUUUUAAUUAGACUGAGUUAAACCUGAGGGACAAGUUAGAUAUUUGUGCAAAACUUGAUAUUAGUUGGAUAAUUAUGUAAAAUCUGAGGGACUAAAUAAUAAUUUUCCCAUUUUACAUUA
Molecule: non-coding RNA, 681 nt
Organism: Jatropha curcas
Lineage: Eukaryota; Viridiplantae; Streptophyta; Magnoliopsida; Malpighiales; Euphorbiaceae
Source: RefSeq, a predicted model, not a curated record